Podarcis lilfordi (Lilford's wall lizard) is the source of this 1363-nucleotide non-coding RNA. The record is from the annotation of a GenBank genome assembly. NCBI's taxonomy places the organism in Eukaryota, Metazoa, Chordata, Lepidosauria, Squamata, Lacertidae.
ACAAGAACAACAAAACAAAAAUACUCAAUAUGCUUCUGUACUCUGAACAGCGCACAGCCUCAGCCUCCAGGCUGUGUGUGUGAGUGAGAGAGAGUAGUAGUCGCCUGUGGAAUAAAAAGAAAAUAACUCCAAAUGGAUCUAACAAUUACAGCACUACAAGUGGACUUGGGGUAGUGUGGGGGGCGGGGAUAUUAUUCCCCAAAGCAGUGGAGCUCUUCUUGCCGUUUUUGUACAGCCUUAGCUGCAAGGAUACCAAAAGCGCAGUGUAUCCACAACUGACCCUUGGCAUCCUUCUGAAGUCCAACAAUAUUCUGUGAAGGAUGCACAGCAGACUGCAGGAAAGGCCCUUCCCCACAGGCAGUGGUUGUUAAGUUUGAGAUCAGCAGCAGUGACAAGGAGCUGGACAAGCCAGUCGCAGCUCCCUGAACAGCAAAGCUGGGUGCAGGAUUGACAGGUGAGAUCCAAAUGAUCUGGAGCAGAUAGGGGAGAAGGCACAAAUGUAAGGUGCGACUCCAUUUGGAAGCCUGUUCUGGCCUCCUCACCUCAAAAAUAAUACUGUUGAGUUGGAAGGGCAACCAAAAUGAUCUAGGGGACGGAGGGACUCCCAAAAAGGCUGCAGUGCUUGGACGAUUUUAGUUUAGAGAAGAGGCAGCAUGAUCAAAGUUUGUAAAAAUUGUACAUGGCAUGGAGAAACUGGAUAGAGAAAAGUUUUUCUCUCUCCCUCUCUCAAAACUCAUGGACCUCCAAUGAAGCUGAAUUUGGGAGAGAUUAAAGAAAGUGCUUCUUUAUACCAGCACGCAGUUCAAUUACGGAACUCACUCCCACAGGAGGCUGGGAUGACCACCAAUUUAGGUGGCUUUAGAAGAGGAUUAGACAGAUUUCCUGGUGAAGGAGACUCUCAAUGGCUAUUAGCCGUAAUGGCUAUAAUCUGCCUCCACAGCUGGAGGCAGCAAUACUUCUGAACACCAGCUGCUGGAGACCACAGGAAGGCUGAGUGCUCUUGUGCUCCAUUCCAGCUUGAAAGGUCUCCACAGGCAUCUGGUUGGCCGUGGUGAGACCAAGAUGCUGGACUUAGAUGGGCCAUUGGCCUGAGCAAGAUAAGACUGGAUAGAAUUAUGAACAUUAUUUGGACUGAUUUGUGGAUAUUAACGCAGUAGCAAGAAGAUGAUCGGAAUCCCCUUUCGGAACUUGAAAUAUGGGUCCCCUCAACAAAAAUUUAAAAUUCAGUUUUGUAAUUCGGAAUUUAUGUCAUGUGAUGUGAUUUGAUUUGAUUGGUCGGUUAAUAAAAAUUAUUUUUUAAAAAAAUAAUAGAUGGGCCAUUGGCCUGAUCCAGCAGGCUCUUCUUAGGUUCCUAUGAAGGGAG